RNAcentral lists this transfer RNA (72 nucleotides) under Camelus dromedarius (Arabian camel). It matches the Rfam family "tRNA". Rfam says of the family: Transfer RNA (tRNA) molecules are approximately 80 nucleotides in length. The record is from Rfam by way of RNAcentral. Lineage: Eukaryota; Metazoa; Chordata; Mammalia; Artiodactyla; Camelidae. RNAcentral also lists the same sequence under 1 other name.
GGGGGUAUAGCUCAGAGGUAGAGCAUGUGCUUAGCAUGUGUGAGGUCCUGGGUUCAAUCUGCAGUACUGCCA